Molecule: ribosomal RNA, 541 nt
Filed under: uncultured bacterium
Lineage: Bacteria
Description: bacterial SSU rRNA
Rfam family: Bacterial small subunit ribosomal RNA
Source: RNAcentral
AGCUAAUAGAUACCCGGGUAGUCCACGCCCUAAACGAUGUCUACUAGUUGUUGGUGGAGUAAAAUCCAUGAGUAAACGCAGCUAAACGCGUGAAGUAGACCGCCUGGGGAGUACGGUCGCAAGAUUAAAACUCAAAGGAAUUGACGGGGGCCCGCACAAGCGGUGGAUUAUGUGGAUUAAAUUCGAUGCAACGCGAAAAACCUUACCUGGCCUUGACAUGCCACUAACGAAGCAGAGAUGCAUUAGGUGCCCGUAAGGGAAAGUGGACACAGGUGCUGCAUGGCUGUCGUCAGCUCGUGCCGUGAGAUGUUGGGUUAAGUCCCGCAACGAGCGCAACCCUUGCCAUUAAUUGCCAUCAUUUAGUUGGGCACUUUAAUGGGACUGCCGGUGACAAACCGGAGGAAGGUGGGGAUGACGUCAAGUCCUCAUGGCCCUUAUGGCCAGGGCUUCACACGUAAUACAAUGGUCGGUACAGAGAGUUGCCAACCCGCAGGGGGUAGCUAAUCUCAGAAAGCCGAUCGUAGUCCGGAUUGUUCUCUGC